GACGAACGCUGGCGGCGUGCUUAACACAUGCAAGUCUAACGGAAAGGCCCUGCUUUUGUGGGGUGCUCGAGUGGCGAACGGGUGAGUAACACGUGAGUAACCUGCCCUUGACUUUGGGAUAACUUCAGGAAACUGGGGCUAAUACCGGAUAGGAGCUCCUGCUGCAUGGUGGGGGUUGGAAAGUUUCGGCGGUUGGGGAUGGACUCGCGGCUUAUCAGCUUGUUGGUGGGGUAGUGGCUUACCAAGGCUUUGACGGGUAGCCGGCCUGAGAGGGUGACCGGCCACAUUGGGACUGAGAUACGUCCCAGACUCCUACGGGAGGCAGCAGUGGGGAAUAUUGCACAAUGGGCGGAAGCCUGAUGCAGCAACGCCGCGUGCGGGAUGACGGCCUUCGGGUUGUAAACCGCUUUCGCCUGUGACGAAGCGUGAGUGACGGUAAUGGGUAAAGAAGCACCGGCUAACUACGUG
This 468-nucleotide ribosomal RNA is filed under the name uncultured bacterium. RNAcentral describes it as "partial 16S ribosomal RNA". It matches the Rfam family "Bacterial small subunit ribosomal RNA", at positions 28 to 507 of the family's 1533-position model. The record is from RNAcentral.